Long non-coding RNA from Mesocricetus auratus (golden hamster), 596 nucleotides. RefSeq lists it as uncharacterized. The transcript is spliced from 3 exons. NCBI's taxonomy places the organism in Eukaryota, Metazoa, Chordata, Mammalia, Rodentia, Cricetidae. The record is from RefSeq and is a predicted model, not a curated record.
UCCGGGACUUUGCAGGCGCUACAGUGGCACAGAGGCCCUGGAUGCUGGUGGAGCAGAGCUGGGAAGUCUCAGUCCUUUUGGUCCUCUCAGGCUUCCCACUUGAGACAGCUCUGGGGGAAUUUCCCGCCUGUGUUUUCCCAGGCCCUGGGACACAUGAGUGGAACUUCAAUUCCUCCUGGUCAAAUUCUGACUUUCGCCAGCGAGGGACAGGAUGGUGGCUAGGAGUCAGAGGGGAGAGAGGCUUCCUCUGCGAACGCUUUUGUCAACCCAAUGGCCCAAGACACUGGGGUGUGGAUCUGAAGUCCCCUCUUUUAUCCAUGACUCCCUACGCCUGGAUGCAGGAAGUGCCUCGGCUCUGUGGCCUGGGGUGACAGAUGCCAGCUAUUACUUUACCAAGGCUCCUCUAACUCCUGCCUUGACCUCAGAGCAGCCGCCGGGAGGAGGUCCCGGUAAUUGGUUUCAUCCAACCCUCAUCUUCAGUGGUGUGAAAGGGAAAGUUAUAAAUAUUUUUUAUCUAUAACUCAGGACGAAUAAAAAUUUAAUUACACUGAAAAAUUUAAAUUUCAUAAGAAAUAAAUAUUAAUCUUGGAGAGUGA